This 327-nucleotide RNase P RNA is filed under the name human gut metagenome. RNAcentral's name for it is "Bacterial RNase P class A". It matches the Rfam family "Bacterial RNase P class A". From Rfam's summary of the family: Ribonuclease P (RNase P) is a ubiquitous endoribonuclease, found in archaea, bacteria and eukarya as well as chloroplasts and mitochondria. Its best characterised activity is the generation of mature 5'-ends of tRNAs by cleaving the 5'-leader elements of precursor-tRNAs. Cellular RNase Ps are ribonucleoproteins. The record is from RNAcentral.
ACGGCAGCGGAAACGUUUUAGUUUAUGAGGAAAGUCCGGGCAUCGCAGAGCAGGAUAACUGAUAACGUCAGCCGGAGGUGACUCCAGGGCCAGUGCAACAGAAAUAUACCGCCCGUUUUACGGGUAAGGGUGGAAAGGCGAGGUAAGAGCUCACCGGAAUGCAGGAGACUGUAUUGCCAUGUAAACCCUAUCCGAUGCAACGCCUAUUGGUACCUUUGUAUCAACAUUUGCUCGAUGGAUACAGAGGUAAUGGCGGCUUGAGCUUCAGGGCAAUCUGAAGCCUAGAUAAAUUGCCGUACACGACAGAACCCGGCUUAUCGGUCUGGU